RNAcentral lists this long non-coding RNA (486 nucleotides) under Brachypodium distachyon (stiff brome). RNAcentral's name for it is "long non-coding RNA (BDIS_LNC003919)". Lineage: Eukaryota; Viridiplantae; Streptophyta; Magnoliopsida; Poales; Poaceae. The record is from RNAcentral.
UGUAAGGCUGAUCCUAGUGGGAGUAACAUAACUGAUCAAUACCCACUUUACACACGUUUUCAAAUACAUUUGGUGGUGAUCAUGUUUGAAUUUGGCAAAUUUGAAUUUGAAUUUAAAUUAUUUGAACCAGAAAAGCUUAAAUUACGCAUUUAACAUCACAUUUACAUUUAUAUGCAGAUUUGAUGCGAAAAGUCACCUUUUAUCUACAUUAUGCUGCAUCAGGGACUAAAAGAGAAAAAAAGAAAAGAGAACAAAACGCAACUAAGCAAAAAGUAGAGAAGAACACGUUAGAAGUUGUACUCAGAUGCAAAAGGAUGCAAAAAGAAGAGGAUCUGCUUAUGUGUCAAGGAAGAAUUAGAAAGGGACAAAGUGCAUAAGCUAAAGUUGAUGUUGACAUGUUCAUGCACCCAUUAGAGAGGGCCAAGGAAAAAAGCAUAAAGAAAGGCAGCCUCUCUCUCUCUCAGGCAUCCACCACCUGCACUCCAC